RNAcentral lists this ribosomal RNA (497 nucleotides) under uncultured bacterium. RNAcentral's name for it is "partial 16S ribosomal RNA". It matches the Rfam family "Bacterial small subunit ribosomal RNA", at positions 28 to 507 of the family's 1533-position model. The record is from RNAcentral.
GAUGAACGCUGGCGGCGUGCCUAAUACAUGCAAGUCGAGCGAACGGACGAGAAGCUUGCUUUUCUGAUGUUAGCGGCGGACGGGUGAGUAACACGUGGAUAACCUACCUAUAAGACUGGGAUAACUUCGGGAAACCGGAGCUAAUACCGGAUAAUAUUUUGAACCGCAUGGUUCAAAAGUGAAAUACGUUCUUGCUGUCACUUAUAGAUGGAUCCGCGCUGCAUUAGCUAGUUGGUAAGGUAACGGCUUACCAAGGCCACGAUGCAUAGCCGACCUGAGAGGGUGAUCGGCCACACUGGAACUGAGACACGGUCCAGACUCCUACGGGAGGCAGCAGUAGGGAAUCUUCCGCAAUGGGCGAAAGCCUGACGGAGCAACGCCGCGUGAGUGAUGAAGGUCUUCGUAUCGUAAAACUCUGUUAUUAGGGAAGAACAUAUGUGUAAGUGACUGUGCACAUCUUGACGGUACCUAAUCAGAAAGCCACGGCUAACUACGUG